This 359-nucleotide long non-coding RNA is filed under the name Carica papaya (papaya). RNAcentral's name for it is "long non-coding RNA (CPAP_LNC009051)". The record is from RNAcentral. Lineage: Eukaryota; Viridiplantae; Streptophyta; Magnoliopsida; Brassicales; Caricaceae.
ACAUGCACUAGCAGAGGCAGUCGCACACUGUCCCUUCCAACUGCGCGCUGCAGGCCUAGCCUAGAGCGCGUACUGGCCUAGCCUGGAGCGCGUACUGGCCUAGCCUAUCGCGUAUGAAGGAUCUACAGCAUGCAGGCCUACUGCAUGGACGGCGCAUGCACAGGGCACACAAGCAGACUGCGCCCGUCUGUGCGCGAUGGAAAAGAUGUCAAGACCGCACCUUAUGCCUUGCGCAGAUGGGGUGCGUGCACAGUGCACGCAUCCUGCGCUGGCUGUGUAUGUGCGACAUGCAGAGCCGGCACAAACAAGAUCGUUCUGCAUCCAUUCUUGCAGGAUUUUCUACCUUUUUAUCUAUUUUU